Nerophis lumbriciformis (worm pipefish) is the source of this 1423-nucleotide long non-coding RNA. RefSeq lists it as uncharacterized. The record is from RefSeq and is a predicted model, not a curated record. NCBI's taxonomy places the organism in Eukaryota, Metazoa, Chordata, Actinopteri, Syngnathiformes, Syngnathidae.
GUGGAGGAUAUGCGCUUUGCUGCAAAGUCCUCCUUUACUCCACACACGCUUCUAAGCCUCGCUACUAACUACACUUUAUUCAUCCUCCGUGUCAGGAUAAACUCCACUCGUCACAUUAUUAGGCCCGCUUAGCUUGCUACUUGUUUUAGCGCGUUAGUUAGCUUAGCUUGCUAGUCAGCUUAGCGUGCUAGUUAGCUUAGCUUGUUAGCUGCUAACUAAGAGACGCGGAUUUGAUCAACACAUCGCUUAGUUAAGAUCAAGUGGAGUGUAAAGUGUUGUGAUUGUGUGAAAAUGUGUGAAAGAACGAUAGCAGAGUACAAAGAGGAACUUUCUCGGACAAAAGAAGAGAACAAAAGACUACGUCAACUACUGGACGCUGUUUUCAAGAAACCUCAAGUUGUGUUACACAGAACAGGGCACAUUCCAAUGCGCCCUCAUCUGUGCGCCCUGACGAGAGCAUCAAGGGCCACGCCCACUUGCACUCUCUCCUCUGGCUGCUCGCCCGGACACGCCCACGACCGCAGCGCACAUCCAGGGACGCGCCGAGCGUGUCUCCGCCCUGCAGCUGCCGCCAGCUGCAAUCACUUACCCGCAAUCAGCACACCUGGUACUGAUGAGGGUGAGCUGCAUAAAGGACCAGUGGACCCAAGGAUCGACGCGGGAACUUAGUUUACCCUUUGGAUACCUUACCUCUUGGUGUACCUGCCUUCCCGAGUCUCCCCUUCGACAUCUCCCGUUGUUUUUCCCCCCCCUGUGUUUUGGACUGCCUUCCGCGUUUCCCGACUCCUCGCUCGCCCCCGGACUAUGACGUCUCUCUAUGCCCCACGGACCCAUCGCAGAUCUUGGACCCCUUUUUGCCUUGCCCUCUUUGGACUUGUCUGCUCCCUCAUCCAACAGCACGGUAAUACACAACAGCUAACUACACACAUAGUCUAACACCACUCACUCUAGGGUUUUGUCACACACUCCAUUUCAUUAGUUUAGUUUAUAUUAGUAAAUGAUAAAUAAAUGAUAAAUGGGUUGUACUUGUAUAGCGCUUUUCUACCUUCAAGGUACUCAAAGCGCUUUGACACUACUUCCACAUUUACCCAUUCACACACACAUUCACACACUGAUGGAGGGAGCUGCCAUGCAAGGCGCUAACCAGCACCCAUCAGGAGCAAGGGUGAAGUGUCUUGCUCGGGACACAACGGUCAUGACGAGGUUGGUUCUAGGUGGGGAUUGAAACAGGGACCCUCGGGUCGCGCACGGCCAUUCUUCCACUGCGCCACGCCGGCAGUAUUGUUUUAUUAUUAUUAUAUAUAUAUAUAUAUAAUAAAUCUUUGGACAUACUGCCCCCUGGUGUCUGUUUGCCGUCACCUCCCCUUAGUACUACAUAAAAAUAUUUUUGUUUAUAUCCCACCCAUACCACCCCCCACGCCCC